UACGGAGGAUGCGAGCGUUAUCCGGAUUUAUUGGGUUUAAAGGGUGCGUAGGCGGACUGUCAGGUCAGCGGUAAAAUUGAGAGGCUCAACCUCUUCCCGCCGUUGAAACUGGUGGUCUUGAGUGGAUGAGAAGUACGCGGAAUGCGUGGUGUAGCGGUGAAAUGCAUAGGUAUCACGCAGAACUCCGAUUGCGAAGGCAGCGUACCGGCAUCCAACUGACGCUGAGGCACGAAAGCGUGGGGAUCAAACAGG
RNAcentral lists this ribosomal RNA (252 nucleotides) under uncultured bacterium. Its description in RNAcentral is "partial 16S ribosomal RNA". It matches the Rfam family "Bacterial small subunit ribosomal RNA", at positions 524 to 776 of the family's 1533-position model. The record is from RNAcentral.